This 465-nucleotide ribosomal RNA is filed under the name uncultured bacterium. Its description in RNAcentral is "partial 16S ribosomal RNA". It matches the Rfam family "Bacterial small subunit ribosomal RNA", at positions 28 to 507 of the family's 1533-position model. The record is from RNAcentral.
GACGAACGCUGGCGGCGUGCUUAACACAUGCAAGUCGAACGGAAAGGCCCCUUUGGGGGUACUCGAGUGGCGAACGGGUGAGUAACACGUGAGUAACCUGCCCUUGUCUUCGGGAUAACUUCAGGAAACUGGGGCUAAUACCGGAUAGGAAUCCUUGCUGCAUGGUGGGGGUUGGAAAGCUUCGGCGGUUUUGGAUGGACUCGCGGCUUAUCAGCUUGUUGGUGGGGUAGUGGCUUACCAAGGCUUUGACGGGUAGCCGGCCUGAGAGGGCGACCGGCCACAAUGGGACUGAGAGACGGCCCAGACUCCUACGGGAGGCAACAGUGGGGAAUAUUGCACAAUGGGCGGAAGCCUGAUGCAGCAACGCCGCGUGCGGGAUGACGGCCUUCGGGUUGUAAAACGCUUUCAGCAGGGGAGAAGCUUGUGGUGACGGUACCUGCAGAAGAAGCACCGGCUAACUACGUG